Molecule: ribosomal RNA, 116 nt
Filed under: Bacillus spizizenii
Lineage: Bacteria; Bacillati; Bacillota; Bacilli; Caryophanales; Bacillaceae
Source: RNAcentral
UCUGGUGAUGAUGGCGAAGAGGUCACACCCGUUUCCAUACCGAACACGGAAGUUAAGCUCUUCAGCGCCGAUGGUAGUCGGGGGUUUCCCCCUGUGAGAGUAGGACGCCGCCAAGC